UACGGAGGGUGCAAGCAUUAAUCGGAUUUAUUGGGCGUAAAGGGCGCGUAGGCGGCCAUGAAAGUCAGAUGUGAAAUCCCGGGGCUCAACCUCGGAACAGCAUUUGAAACUCCAUGGCUCGAGGGUAGGAGGAGAAAACGGAAUUCCACAAGUAGCGGUGAAAUGCGUAGAUAUGUGGAAGAACACCGGUGGCGAAGGCGGUUUUCUAUCUUAUUCCUGACGCUGAGGCGCGAAAGCAAGGGGAUCAAACAG
RNAcentral lists this ribosomal RNA (252 nucleotides) under uncultured bacterium. RNAcentral describes it as "partial 16S ribosomal RNA". It matches the Rfam family "Bacterial small subunit ribosomal RNA", at positions 524 to 775 of the family's 1533-position model. The record is from RNAcentral.